RNAcentral lists this long non-coding RNA (224 nucleotides) under Panax ginseng (ginseng). RNAcentral describes it as "long non-coding RNA (PGIN_LNC000152)". The record is from RNAcentral. Lineage: Eukaryota; Viridiplantae; Streptophyta; Magnoliopsida; Apiales; Araliaceae.
UCCCACAACAAAACACCAAAUGGCCCACUUCCUCCGGAGCCCAAAACGGAGACGCCGUGGACUAAUCACACCGCCACGGAAAGUGUCAUGUCUCUCGUGCCAAGACGACAUGCCUGUGGUACCCCCACAGGUGGUUAUAGCUCAAGUAUACCCUACGGUAUAUUCUAACAAAAAUACCAUGUCACAACACAUGCGACAUAAUACCAACAAAAGGGUUCUAUAUG